Long non-coding RNA from Scophthalmus maximus (turbot), 684 nucleotides. RefSeq lists it as uncharacterized. The record is from RefSeq and is a predicted model, not a curated record. Lineage: Eukaryota; Metazoa; Chordata; Actinopteri; Pleuronectiformes; Scophthalmidae. The transcript is spliced from 4 exons.
UCCCGCAAGUACUGGACCAACUCGAGGAGGAGUUUAGUAACCCCAAUCGGUUCCUGUUCUAUGGCUACCAGUGCGCGUAUUGGAGCUGUCUGUUUGGGUACAGGUCGGGGGUCUUGCAAACAUGACGGAGAAGGAGGUAGAGGAGGCAAAGACCCACGGCCAGGAGCUGGGCUACCUGCUUCACAAAAAUCAAAGAGCACAAAACCAAUAAAACCUUUGGUGAAGCUCAGAUGUUCCUCAUCAAAGAGGAGUUUACCUGCCUGGAGAGGUGGCUGGCCAUCGAGAAAAAGGUGCCAGCCAAAGAGGCCAACCAGUUUGUGUUUUUCACAAAACAGAAGGGGCCGUCAAAGAACUUGAACAAUUACUUGCAGACAGCCUGCAGAGAAACGGGGAUGGAAUCAAUUUCACUCUCAUCCACUUGGCUCUGGCUACUUAUUUUGGAACUCCGACGUGUGUGUGACGUGGAACUCCGACCACAGUGAGGUAGUUGAGGUCAGGGCCAUGGUAAGCCAGAACCUCCACCAGGGCCCGGAAGGUGAGCGGGAACAGCCGCAUGAGGGGGAGGAUGACGAGGAGAUGGGUGGCGGCAGCAGCAGCUCAACUGACAGCAAGGCGACCCCGGUCAUGUACCAGGAAUCAGGGGACUCCUCAUCUUCCUCCCUCUCAGAGGAGGAACAGCAGCAG